Molecule: ribosomal RNA, 301 nt
Filed under: uncultured bacterium
Lineage: Bacteria
Description: partial 16S ribosomal RNA
Rfam family: Bacterial small subunit ribosomal RNA
Source: RNAcentral
CAGCAGCCGCGGGAAUACGAAGGGUGCAAGCGUUACUCGGAAUUACUGGGCGUAAAGCGUGCGUAGGUGGUGGUUUAAGUCCGUUGUGAAAGCCCUGGGCUCAACCUGGGAAUUGCAGUGGAUACUGGGUCACUAGAGUGUGGUAGAGGAUAGUGGAAUUCCCGGUGUAGCAGUGAAAUGCGUAGAGAUCGGAAGGAACAUCUGUGGCGAAGGCGACUAUCUGGGCCAACACUGACACUGAGGCACGAAAGCGUGGGGAGCAAACCGGAUUAGAUACCCCCGUAGUCCCUGUCUCUUAUAC